GAUGAAGAACGCAGCGAAAUGCGAUAAGUAAUGUGAAUUGCAGAAUUCCGUGAAUCAUCGAAUCUUUGAACGCACAUUGCGCCCCCUGGCAUUCCGGGGGGCAUGCCUGUCCGAGCGUCAUUUCUGCCCUCAAGCACGGCUUGUGUGUUGGGUGUGGUCCCCCCGGGGACCUGCCCGAAAGGCAGCGGCGACGUCCGUCUGGUCCUCGAGCGUAUGGGGCUUUGUCACUCGCUCGGGAAGGACCUGCGGGGGUUGGUCACCACCAUAUUUUACCACGGUUGACCUCGGAUCAGGUAGGAGUUACCCGCUGAACUUAAGCAUAUCAAUAAGCGGAGGA
RNAcentral lists this unclassified non-coding RNA (337 nucleotides) under soil metagenome. RNAcentral describes it as "partial contains 5.8S ribosomal RNA, internal transcribed spacer 2, and large subunit ribosomal RNA". The stretch from base 1 to 120 matches the Rfam family "5.8S ribosomal RNA", at positions 35 to 154 of the family's 154-position model. The record is from RNAcentral.